RNAcentral lists this ribosomal RNA (810 nucleotides) under uncultured bacterium. Its description in RNAcentral is "bacterial SSU rRNA". It matches the Rfam family "Bacterial small subunit ribosomal RNA", at positions 587 to 1400 of the family's 1533-position model. The record is from RNAcentral.
GUCAGUAGUGAAAUCCAUGGGCUUAACCCAUGAACUGCUAUUGAAACUGUCGAGCUUGAGUGAAGUAGAGGUAGGCGGAAUUCCCGGUGUAGCGGUGAAAUGCGUAGAGAUCGGGAGGAACACCAGUGGCGAAGGCGGCCUACUGGGCUUUAACUGACGCUGAGGCACGAAAGCGUGGGUAGCAAACAGGAUUAGAUACCCUGGUAGUCCACGCUGUAAACGAUGAUUACUAGGUGUGGGUGGACUGACCCCAUCCGUGCCGGAGUUAACACAAUAAGUAAUCCACCUGGGGAGUACGGCCGCAAGGCUGAAACUCAAAGGAAUUGACGGGGGCCCGCACAAGCAGUGGAGUAUGUGGAUUAAUUCGAUGCAACGCGAAGAACCUUACCAGGUCUUGACAUCCCGCUAACGAGGUAGAGAUACGUUAGGUGCCCUUCGGGGAAAGCGGAGACAGGUGGUGCAUGGUUGUCGUCAGCUCGUGUCGUGAGAUGUUGGGUUAAGUCCCGCAACGAGCGCAACCCUUACUGUUAGUUGCUACGCAAGAGCACUCUAGCAGGACCGCCGUUGACAAAACGGAGGAAGGUGGGGAUGAUGUCAAAUCAUCAUGCCCCUUAUGACCUGGGCCUCACACGUACUUCAAUGGCCAUUAACAGAGGGAGGCAAAGCCGCGAGGCAGAGCAAAACCCUAAAAAUGGUCCCAGUUCGGAUCGCAGGCUGCAACCCGCCUGCGUGAAGUUGGAAUUGCUAGUAAUCGCGGAUCAGCAUGCCGCGGUGAAUACGUUCCCGGGCCUUGCACUCACCGCCCGUCAA